Chelonia mydas (Green sea turtle) is the source of this 2236-nucleotide long non-coding RNA. RefSeq lists it as uncharacterized. NCBI's taxonomy places the organism in Eukaryota, Metazoa, Chordata, Testudines, Cheloniidae. The record is from RefSeq and is a predicted model, not a curated record. The transcript is spliced from 3 exons.
UUUUCAGUUAAAUGGAUGAUGAAUAAUAGUCUUCUCUUACCUAAACAGCAUAUUUUGGAUACUGACAAAUUACUGUGCUCCUGGAAAUGGGUUCAAAGAUGGGCCUGGAGAUGGAAAUCUUCAUUUCUCCACAGACAAGAUACAGCAUAGCAGCAGUAAUGCUUUCAAGAUGGACUUUACAGAUGUUGUGAAGAAGAAAGCCUGGAGCUGUUUAAAAGACAUGACAAACUGCUAAAAAGCAGAUGCAGCUUUUGUUUAUAAAUCUUCUAGCCUUUUCCAGUAAUUAAGACUUGAGUGGGUUUAGUGUGAAAAUGAAAAUCAUUCCAACUACAGUAUAUAAAAAAAAAGACAAUUUCUCUAAAAUGAAACCAUCACUUAAACUGGCCUUUUAUUUUUAAGGGAAUUACAUCCUGGCAGAACCCAAUGGAAUGUCUGGCUUUAGAUGGAAAUGUUAUAAAAGGUGUAAAACACAGGAGUUUUCAAAAAACUCCUUAAUGCAGGGUUUAUUUUUACUCUGUCUUGACAGAUCCAUACUAAGAGCAAGAAAAAUGAUAGUUAAACUUGGCACAUACUAAGAACCCCACCUAUAGCUCUUACAAAGCCAGUAAAGUCACUUUCUUAAAUGAAUACUCUCUUUUAUACCUUAUUCUGUCCCACUUACUAUAUAGAACUUAAACAAUUCUGUCAACAAUUAAUCAAAAAUGCAAAUCACGGUAGUAGCUGAUUAAAUGUAAUCAGGAUGUAUAAGAAACUGAAUGGUAGUAAGCAGGAAAAGCUAUCAGACCUGGGAGGCAAAUAAGUAUCAUUGAAAAGAUUAAGGGAAAAAACAUUAUCUCUCACAAAUGUAGUCUUUAAUGGAUUUCCCAUCAUCUCACUGCAAGUAAAGCAGUCUUCUCACACCGUGUAGAUGGAUCAGUAAUGGAACAUCUAAAAUUGGGCUCAUAUAACAUGCAAAACUAGAUUUCAGCUUGUGAUAUAAUAGCUGGCCAGUUAACCCUCAUUUGGGGCGGGAUUGCUGAUCAUUCUUGCCCAGAGAAGAAAAAUCCGCUGGCAUUAACCAGCUGUCGACAGUUAUCCACCCUGGGCUCGGUGCUUGAUAUGAAAUUACUGAUUCCAGAUGUCCCAGUUUUGAGUAAAAGAUUCUUACUCAGUUCAGAGACUGUGAGAGGGUAGGGUAAAUAAUUUCCUUUUUAGUGGCGCUAGGAGUGGAAUUAGCUUGGUCAAAACUUUAAAUCUGCCUGCCUAAAGUUAGGCACCUAGCUCCGUAUUCAGACUCCCAAAUAACGUGCUGAUCACCUGCAGCUCCUGUUGAUUGGGAACCUGGCCACCUUCCAUACCCAACCUUAUCAAAAGAUGUUCAAAUGAACCUUGCAAGGAAUGGGAAAUUCCACUCCAUUUAAAUACGCAUGCAUCCAUAGUCGCAACAGAACAAAAAUCAUUAGUAUUGAAAUUAUAACAAAAACUGGUACCAGUGUCCCAGGGGGGCUUGUUAAGUCCCUGCUGCCAUCCAGGCUGCUGCAAUUUCACUGCUUUUGUUAUUCAGGCUAGUUAGACCAAACCUCAGGUAUGUCAGCUUAUCUCUCUCACCAACAGAAGUUGGCCCAAUAAAAGAUAUUACCUCACCCCCCUCGUCUCUCAGGUAUGUCUACAUACUUCUGAUUGCAUCAUAGCCCAAUUCUGCCAACACUCUGAAUGUAAUUAAGCACUGGUUUACAUUAGAAGAGUUGCACUGAUUUAAGUAGAUUUUAAAACUGAUCGAAUUAAACCAAUGCAAAGGCUUAAGGUAGAUGCAUAAGUCAGUUUAGUUGAAAUCUGUUAUUUACUAAUGCAAGCUAAACACAAGAGUUAAACUGGUUUAAGUAAGUCUACAUUAGGUAUUUUCACUGGUUUAACCAGAUAGAUUUUUUUUAAACCUAUUUAAUUAAAGCAAUGCAACUCUUCUAGUAGAGACAAGGUUUAAUUUUACUCAUAUGAGUCAAUAAGUUGAAAUUCACAGGACUAUUCACAGCAAUAAGCAUAAUGCUUGGUAAUGAAUAUAUGCAGGACUGGGCACUUGAACAAAUAUUGUGGGUGGAGCAUGUAUUUACACUCAGUUAAAGUUGGCCAAAGGAUUCCAUUCGAAAGAGCUUUUUUAAAAGCCAUUUAUAGCUUUCUCAAAUCUUCAUCUUUCAUGCUGAAAUUUACCACGUAUGAGAUCUGUCCCUUGGUGGGGGGGUUCUUGGGGAGGGACGUGAGG